UACGUAGGGUGCGAGCGUUGUCCGGAAUUACUGGGCGUAAAGAGCUUGUAGGCGGUUCGUCGCGUCGAUUGUGAAAUCUCACGGCUCAACCGUGCGCUUGCAGUCGAUACGGGCGGACUAGAGUACUGCAGGGGAGACUGGAAUUCCUGGUGUAGCGGUGAAAUGCGCAGAUAUCAGGAGGAACACCGGUGGCGAAGGCGGGUCUCUGGGCAGUAACUGACGCUGAGAAGCGAAAGCGUGGGUAGCGAACAGG
RNAcentral lists this ribosomal RNA (253 nucleotides) under uncultured bacterium. RNAcentral's name for it is "partial 16S ribosomal RNA". It matches the Rfam family "Bacterial small subunit ribosomal RNA", at positions 524 to 776 of the family's 1533-position model. The record is from RNAcentral.